RNAcentral lists this long non-coding RNA (213 nucleotides) under Theobroma cacao (cacao). RNAcentral's name for it is "long non-coding RNA (TCAC_LNC000414)". Lineage: Eukaryota; Viridiplantae; Streptophyta; Magnoliopsida; Malvales; Malvaceae. The record is from RNAcentral.
UUGUCUCCCUUUACUCGCCUUUAGAUAGUUUAGAUGGUGUCUGUUUACUCACUGGGAUUAUGUAAUCAUAAUCUCACCCCUCUUCCUAUCCAUUUUUCAAGCUCAGGACAGUUUGUUGAUAGUUGAUUAAGACGAGAAUUAAUCUCGGAGUUGCAUCCUAGAAAGUAAGGGUUCGUAGCCCUACACCUUCUUGGUCAGUUGAGGGCCCACGUG